AGACUAGUAGGUCUAAAAACGUGAUGAUUGGGUGUUCACGCGCCUGCGUGAUGUGUGCCUCCCUCAAUCCUUGUUGCGUCUGACU
This 85-nucleotide small nucleolar RNA is filed under the name Catagonus wagneri (Chacoan peccary). RNAcentral describes it as "Small nucleolar RNA U13 (ENSCWAG00000009397.1)". It matches the Rfam family "Small nucleolar RNA U13". The record is from Rfam by way of RNAcentral. Lineage: Eukaryota; Metazoa; Chordata; Mammalia; Artiodactyla; Tayassuidae.